AAGUCGUAACAAGGUUUCCGUAGGUCGCUAAAGUUCAGCCUACCAAAGCAGACCUUUCAAAACUUGCUAGUCUCCCCCCGAGGCGACACGCUCAAUGUUGCGGAGAGGCCCUCUUCUCAGAGGGUAAUCCGCAGCCGGCUCCCCCCAAGGGCUGGUUCAGAGACUCAAUGAGUGUGGGUUUGGCCUUUUGGCCAAGCUUAAGAUAGAGCCCGUCCCUGUAGGCAACUGCAGGGGAUCAACGGAACCUGCGGAAGGAUCAUUAAAGAAUCGGUGACCCUUGCGGUCCCAUUCUCACCCUUU
This 300-nucleotide unclassified non-coding RNA is filed under the name Coccomyces sp. Its description in RNAcentral is "partial contains small subunit ribosomal RNA and internal transcribed spacer 1". The stretch from base 29 to 232 matches the Rfam family "Group I catalytic intron". From Rfam's summary of the family: Group I catalytic introns are large self-splicing ribozymes. They catalyse their own excision from mRNA, tRNA and rRNA precursors in a wide range of organisms. The core secondary structure consists of 9 paired regions (P1-P9). The record is from RNAcentral. Lineage: Eukaryota; Fungi; Ascomycota; Leotiomycetes; Rhytismatales; Rhytismataceae.